RNAcentral lists this long non-coding RNA (1488 nucleotides) under Homo sapiens (human). RNAcentral describes it as "HSALNT0327103". The record is from RNAcentral. Lineage: Eukaryota; Metazoa; Chordata; Mammalia; Primates; Hominidae.
CUUGUUCAAUUCUAUUGCUGAGACUUUCCAGUGCAUUUUGCAUUUCUCUAAGUGUGUCCUUCAUUUCCAGAAUUUGUGAUUGUCUUUUGUUUAUGUUAUCUAUUUCACUGGAGAUUUUUCCAUUCAUAUCCUGUAUCAUUGUUUUUAUUUCUUUAAGCUGAACUUCGUAUUUCUCUGGUGCCUCCUUGAUUAGCUUAAUAAUCGACCUUCUGAAUUCUUCUCCUGGCAAUUCAGAGAUUUUAUCUUUGCUGGUGAGCUAGUAUAAUCUUUUGGGGGUAUUAAAUAAUCUUGUUUUGUCAUAUUACCAGAAUUGUUUUUCUGGUUCCUUCUUUUUUGGGUAGACUAUGUCAGAGGAAAGAUCUGGGACUCAAGGGCUGCUGUUCAGAUUCUUUUGUCCCACGAAGUGCUCCCUUGAUUUGGUGCUUUCCCCCUUCUUCUAGGGAUGGGGCAUCCUGAGAGCCAAACUGCCAUUAUUGUUAUUUCUGUUCUGGAUUUAGCCACUCAGCGGAGCUACUGGGCUCCAGGCCGGUACUGGGGAAUAUCUGCAAAGAGUCCUGUGAUGUUAUCCGUCUUCAGGUCUUUCAGCCAUGGAUACAAGCACCUGCUCUGGUGGAGGUAGCAGGGAACUGAAGUAGACUCUGUGAGGGGUCCGUGGUUGUAUUUUUAAGUGCACUGAUUUUGUGUUGGCUGGCCUCCAGCCAAAAGGUAGCACUUUCAAAAGUGCAUCAGCUGCAGUAGUAUAGGGAGGAUACAAGCUUGCCCAAGUAUCAGGUGGUGGGCAGGGCUAUAGAGCUCCCAAGAGAUUAUGUCCUUUGUCUCCAGCUACCAGGGUGGGUGGAGAAAGAUCAUCACGUUGAGGCGGGGUUAGGCUGUCUGAGUUCAGACUCUCCUUGGGUGGAGCUUGCUGCAGCUGCUGUGGGGGAUGGAGUUGUGGUUUCCCAGGCCAGUGGAGUUAUGGUCCCAGAGGGAUUAUGGCUGCCACUGCUGCAUCACACAGGUUGCCAGGAAAGUGGGGGAAACCCGGCAACCACAGGCCUCACCCGUCUCCCAUGCAGCCCAAAAGUCCAGUCUCACUCCCACCAUGUCCCCGCAAACAGCACUGAAUUUAUUUCCAGGCAACCAGUGAGCAAGGCUGAGAACUUGUCCCAGGUUACGAGACUCCCAGGUACAGUCAUGUGCCGCAUAAUGACAUUCAGUCAAUGACAGACUGCAUAUAUGAGGUGGUCCUGUAAGGUGAUAAUGGAGCUGAAAAAUUCCUACUACUGAACGACAUCAUAGCCAUUGUAACAUCAUAGCACAACCAAUCACCUUUUCUAUAUUUAGAUAAGGAGUUCAUAUGCUGGAAUGAUAGUGACACAGGAGUUUAACACUCCUACAGUAUCCAGAGCCUGGAUCCCUGAGUCAUCAGAUGGAGAAGAACUACUCAGGAGAGUCAUCCAACCUUCAUAGACAGUGGCAUGAGUGGGAAUUAAACAUUGAUUAUGUUAA